CCUACGGGAGGCAGCAGUGGGGAAUCUUGGACAAUGGGGGGAACCCUGAUCCAGCGACGCCGCGUGAGUGAAGAAGUAUUUCGGUACGUAAAGCUCUAUCAGCAGGGAAGAAAGAAAUGACGGUACCUGACUAAGAAGCCCCGGCUAACUACGUGCCAGCAGCCGCGGUAAUACGUAGGGGGCAAGCGUUAUCCGGAUUUACUGGGUGUAAAGGGAGCGUAGACGGCGAUGCAAGUCUGAAGUGAAAGGCGGUGGCCCAACCCCCGGACUGCUUUGGAAACUGUAUGGCUGGAGUGCAGGAGAGGUAAGUGGAAUUCCUAGUGUAGCGGUGAAAUGCGUAGAUAUUAGGAGGAACACCAGUGGCGAAGGCGGCUUACUGGACUGUAACUGACGUUGAGGCUCGAAAGCGUGGGGAGCAAACAGGAUUAGAUACCCCAGUAGUC
RNAcentral lists this ribosomal RNA (443 nucleotides) under uncultured bacterium. RNAcentral's name for it is "partial 16S ribosomal RNA". It matches the Rfam family "Bacterial small subunit ribosomal RNA", at positions 338 to 795 of the family's 1533-position model. The record is from RNAcentral.